This 492-nucleotide ribosomal RNA is filed under the name uncultured bacterium. RNAcentral describes it as "partial 16S ribosomal RNA". It matches the Rfam family "Bacterial small subunit ribosomal RNA", at positions 29 to 507 of the family's 1533-position model. The record is from RNAcentral.
AGUGAACGCUGGCGGUAGGCCUAACACAUGCAAGUCGAACGGCAGCACAGUAAGAGCUUGCUCUUACGGGUGGCGAGUGGCGGACGGGUGAGGAAUACAUCGGAAUCUACUUUUUCGUGGGGGAUAACGUAGGGAAACUUACGCUAAUACCGCAUACGACCUACGGGUGAAAGCAGGGGAUCUUCGGACCUUGCGCGAUUGAAUGAGCCGAUGUCGGAUUAGCUAGUUGGCGGGGUAAAGGCCCACCAAGGCGACGAUCCGUAGCUGGUCUGAGAGGAUGAUCAGCCACACUGGAACUGAGCCACGGUCAAGACUCCUACGGGAGGCAGCAGUGGGGAAUAUUGGACAAUGGGCGCAAGUCUGAUCCAGCCAUACCGCGUGGGUGAAGAAGGCCUUCGGGUUGUAAAGCCCUUUUGUUGGGAAAGAAAAGCAGCAGGUUAAUACCCCGCUGUUCUGACGGUACCCAAAGAAUAAGCACCGGCUAACUUCGUG